GCCUCAAUGGCUAAGUGGUCAAGGCGCCGCUCUUGUAAAGCGGAGAUCAUAGGUUCGAAUCCUAUUUGAGGCA
RNAcentral lists this transfer RNA (73 nucleotides) under Cyphobasidiales sp. Tagirdzhanova-0007. Its description in RNAcentral is "tRNA-Thr". It matches the Rfam family "tRNA". From Rfam's summary of the family: Transfer RNA (tRNA) molecules are approximately 80 nucleotides in length. The record is from RNAcentral. Lineage: Eukaryota; Fungi; Basidiomycota; Cystobasidiomycetes; Cyphobasidiales.